Long non-coding RNA from Marmota marmota marmota (Alpine marmot), 1704 nucleotides. The record is from Ensembl. NCBI's taxonomy places the organism in Eukaryota, Metazoa, Chordata, Mammalia, Rodentia, Sciuridae.
UCCACCGCCCGUCGAGGGUGGGGGUGGGGGGCGAAAGGCUCCGUGGGCACGAGCUGGUUCCCACGUGGCUGCAGUCGUCGCAGCAGGGCUCCUAGGGUGGCUGCAAACGUGGAGGCGGCCCAGACCGUGGGCCUGCCGUGGGAGGUGGAGGCAUGGAGGCUGGGUUAGGGGUCUCAGUAACCCCUACUCCAGCACCCAGGUCUUCUCUGGUUCCCUCGCGACGGUGGCCUGCCCCGGUGUUGUGUUCCCCAGAGGUGAUGUUCCUUAUCAGGAGAGAGGAAAGAAGCUGCCAUCCCUCCUCCUCCUUAUGGCCAGGGCAUGUGCCAAACUGCCUAUGAAUUGACUGUGGGUCUCUGCUCAGUGUUCCUAGCCACCAUUCUCAGGGAAGGGGUGGAAGAGGAGUGGGCAGGAGCAGAGGAAAGGACAUUGCUGACCCAGGGAAGCUGAAGCCCAGGCCAACUGGAAGCGACCCAGCCCAUUGUCUGGACCACAAGUGCCCCUUUCUUGUCUGAGCACAAUGCCUCGACUAUGCUGGAUGGCAAUCAGGUUGGCUGGCAGAGACACCAGUGCCACAUGGAGGUGCCUGGUCCUCCAGAAGAACUCCUCUGGGAGGAGAAUGGCCGCUGAGUCAGAGGAAAUGACCUCUGGCUCCCCUCCCAACCUUCCCUCAAUGGGUAGUAAGCUGGAGAGAGAAAUGGCCCCCCUAUCAGCUUUUCAGGGCCUGACUCAGCAGAUACCAACCCCAACCACAAGCUUGGGAUACAGCAUCUAUGCGACCACAACCACGCUUGGGUUUCCUUUCCUAUCUAAGGAAGUAUCCUGGUCACCAGAGGUGACAGAUAUAUGAGCGCUUGGUUUGCUUAUAACCCACCCUGCGAGGGCUGAGGCUGGGUGAUGGCUUCUUUCUCAGUGACAUUUUGGUGAAUGACCGACAUUUCCCAGGAAUGAAUUGGAUGCAGACCCAGCUCCUGAGGUGUCACUGUCCUACAGCUAAAAGACCAAACAGGUAACUGGACACCUCUAGUCAUUCCUUCAAGAAGUGGCUUUUGAGCUACCAUGUGCCAGUUGAUCAAAAGAAAUGAAGCCUCUGGUGUUGGACACAAACUACUCCAGAACUUUCUGGUCACUGGGCUUCAUUAUCUUCCAGCUGUUGGGGUGAGGUGGCUCAGGGAUGACUUAUCCAGAAAAGAAUGACCAGAGCCCAAGCAACCUUGCAGGGGCUCAUCCUGAAGGCUCUGAUCUGGGUCCCAGGAUGCUCCUUUGGAUCAGCAACACUGGCUCAGCAUCUGUUGGGAAUCUGUUAGAAAUGCAAACUCUGAGGUCCCACCCAGACCUACUGAAUCAAAUGCUGUGAGUGGAGCCCAGCCUUCCAGUGGUUAGGAUGCUUGUUCAAGUUUGAGAGACACCAAUUAGAAGCAUGUUAAGGCCAGGAUUGUCUCCUGAAAUGGUGGGAAAGCAUUGGAGGGUUCAGAAAGGAGAGAGCCUAGGGAAAAUAGGCAAUGUGGAGAACUGGUUGACUGGGCAGGGGUCCGGCAUGAUGGUGCAAUGGUAAAAAGUAAUAGUGACCUGGCCAGGGUACUGGCAAGAGGACCAAAGGGUGUGGAUACUACCCAGAGAAUAGGAACAACAGGCUUUCGUAUCUGGAGUGAAGGGUGGGCCCAUUGCUGAAAUAAAGGACCCAGUAGCAGAUCUUUGGAGUCUAAA